GCCCAAAAUAUUCUUUGACUUGUUUCUAUAACACUUGACGCUUGAGAUAAUGAUGAGAAUUUUAUACAUUUUUCUUUUAGUUCUAAAAUUAAACAAACGGUGCUUUCUACAUUGCCGUCCAUCCAUAUCCGUAUCCUUUAAUCGUAUCCUGAAUACGUGCAUGUUGCCAAAGUUUAUUACUACAAUCCCUCGUGGGAUGCAUAUAUAACUCAUACGCAUAUUUUAAUAAAUAUACAAAACAUGAUGCAUCAUACACGACAUUAUUUGUUUAUAUUAUUUUUCAAGGUUCUUUCAAAGCAUUAACUUCCAUUGAACGCUGCUUCUCUAUCUUCCAGAACAAUAUAAACAUGAAGACACUAAACGCCAGCAAAACAACAAGCACCAGCUCCUCCACUUCAACCGUCUUCUACUUCUAGCACACUGCAUUCGUUAAAUACUUCGUCUGGGAGUAAACAGUGGCAACAUAAUGCGACUUCUUUGGCAUAUUAAAAUCUGUGCAUACUUAAAUCAUUGCUUCGUGCAUUGAUUAUUGUUUAAACACUUCUUAAUGCUGCCACAAUAAAAUUAAGUGAGCGUGAAAAGGUGUGAAUCGGCAGAGUAUAAAAAGUUUGAGAGAAAGAGAUUCCGAAUUCGCGAACCCAGUUAUACAAUAAAACGUUUUAGACAAUA
Molecule: long non-coding RNA, 669 nt
Organism: Acromyrmex echinatior (Panamanian leafcutter ant)
Lineage: Eukaryota; Metazoa; Arthropoda; Insecta; Hymenoptera; Formicidae
Source: RefSeq, a predicted model, not a curated record